UCUUCGCUGGUCAGGAGAAGCCGAUUUCUGGGAUAAUCCUCGUGCGGUGUUCGCCUGACGUCCCCUGCAGGUCCUCAGGAUACGUGCGAGGCGUCCACAAGGGGCAAAGAAAGCCUCGGCCUCGUCGGGAGAUAGAAGACCGAACAACAGGCGCGAUGUGUGAUAGUCCAGAAGUGUAACGAUCUGACGUGUGAACAAGACCACUACCACCUCAUUACCAACAAUCUAACCUGUCACUGCUUGCUGCGAGGAAAGGUUCUCAGACUGGAAGCUGCCGAGAACAACGGUAGGAAAGCCGACAGACGAGGCCGUGGAAGGGAGAGCAGCGGACGAGCAGCUGUGCGCUCGUGGUUCCUGGCUUGUGGUUCCUCGGCAUUUUCUUACAGAAAAAACGAGCCGUAUUGAUGUGCAGGCUGGACCAUUAAGACUCAACAGUCGUGGCGUGAAAGGACAAUUGUAAAGACUCCGGGAGAGGACGAGAGUGUGAGGUGGUCAUAACAUGCAGAUUUGGAACUGGCUGCCUGCCAGCUGAUUCUAGUCUCCAACAGCUGUCUCAGUCAAUCGAACCAGCUCUUUUGACUAAACUUCACCUAACUGGACUUUGUGACAGCCAACUGGAACUUUGUGGAAGACAUCCAUCUCCUCCCACACCUUAUCUGGCUGCCAUAUAACAGGUAAAAAACACCCAUCAAUUUGGGAGUCCCAAACUAUAUAAACUAAUAGUUGACCAGUAGUGUCAACUUCAGUGUUCUGAAUGUGUUUGGCACAAAACAAUAAAAUGCAGUACUUUCUUGGUUCUCCUCAGAUAUAGUGCUUUCAUAGCACCACACAGUCUGACUCUGCUAAACUAGACGUUUUGAUGUUGUUACUCUUGCAAGGAAGAAAGUACUGCUAAUUAAUUAUAUACACACUAGUGUAGGAGAGUUAGAGACAUCAUCUUCACUCAGCAAGAUUUGCUAGUGUAGUUUGUAAGACUCCCACAUUGAGAAGUGUUCAUUUUACCUGCACCACAGCAAGAAGAGGCACAGGUAUGGGAGGAGAGUCUUCUUGCAGAAAGAAAGUGGAUGGCGGUGAAUGGAGAAGGAUACUGUAAUCCUCCUUAAGUGAGAUAUUGCACAGGAGAUUGGCAAGUGCUAGUACAGUAAAACCUCCCUAAACUGAAAUUGAAGCCGAAUAUUGGAUAACUCGAACACCGUUAUCAACCUCCUCAACCAGUCUGCCACCUCCACUCCAUCCCCAAUCACACCAGAGCAACCAGCCAACAUCUUUGAUUUAGACUCCGAGUGACAAGCAGAAGUACACUAGUAGUAUAGUGCAUAAUGUUGUUUGUUAUGUUAGCUCUCUCAUGUGACCAGUAUGUUGUGUACAGUUAAGUGUGUAGUUGUGUAAUGUUAAAUGAACUCUUGAGUGACCAGCUAGUGUGUUGUGCACAUUUAAUAAAGAAAUGUUGUAAAUAUCAAUCUUUUGGCUUAUGUUGUAAUAAUGUGCUAAUAGUAAAUAACAAUAAACGUACUAGUAAAUAACAAUAAACGUACAUGUUUACACAUAACAUAGAAACCAGCAGAAAACUGAACAUUGAAUAAACCGUCAGCCACCUCACCCCACAUAUAGUUGAGUUUAUGGAGGUUUUAUUGUACUAUCAAUAAAUCACUAAACAAAGAUG
Molecule: long non-coding RNA, 1663 nt
Organism: Scylla paramamosain (green mud crab)
Lineage: Eukaryota; Metazoa; Arthropoda; Malacostraca; Decapoda; Portunidae
Exons: 6
Source: RefSeq, a predicted model, not a curated record